This 581-nucleotide ribosomal RNA is filed under the name uncultured Alphaproteobacteria bacterium. RNAcentral's name for it is "bacterial SSU rRNA". It matches the Rfam family "Bacterial small subunit ribosomal RNA", at positions 506 to 1083 of the family's 1533-position model. The record is from RNAcentral. Lineage: Bacteria; Pseudomonadati; Pseudomonadota; Alphaproteobacteria.
UGCCAGCAGCCGCGGUAAUACGAAUGGAGCGAGCGUUGUUCGGAAUCACUGGGCGUAAAGGGUGCGCAGGCGGUUAUGAAAGUUAGAAGUGAAAGCCCAGGGCUCAACCCUGGAAUUGCUUUUAAAACUCCAUAACUUGAGUACUGGAGAGGUUGGCGGAAUUCCGAGUGUAGAGGUGAAAUUCGCAGAUAUUCGGAGGAACACCAAUGGCGUAGGCAGCCAACUGGACAGUAACUGACGCUCAUGCACGAAAGCGUGGGGAUCAAACAGGAUUAGAUACCCUGGUAGUCCACGCCCUAAACGAUGUGUGCUAGUUGUCGGGCCCUUUAGGGUUCGGUGACGCAGCUAACGCUUUAAGCACACCGCCUGGGGAGUACGGUCGCAAGAUUAAAACUCAAAGGAAUUGACGGGGACCCGCACAAGCGGUGGAGCAUGUUGUUUAAUUCGAAGCAACGCGAAGAACCUUACCUACACUUGACAUGCCCUUUAGGACUUUCAGAGAUGAUCGUUUUCAGUUCGGCUGGGAGGAGCACAGGUGCUGCAUGGCUGUCGUCAGCUCGUGUCGUGAGAUGUUGGGUUAA